Molecule: ribosomal RNA, 253 nt
Filed under: uncultured bacterium
Lineage: Bacteria
Description: partial 16S ribosomal RNA
Rfam family: Bacterial small subunit ribosomal RNA
Source: RNAcentral
UACGUAGGGUCCGAGCGUUGUCCGGAAUUAUUGGGCGUAAAGGGCUCGUAGGCGGUCUGUCGCGUCUGCUGUGAAAACUCAGGGCUUAACCCUGAGCUUGCAGUGGGUACGGGCAGACUAGAGUGCGGUAGGGGAGACUGGAAUUCCUGGUGUAGCGGUGAAAUGCGCAGAUAUCAGGAGGAACACCGGUGGCGAAGGCGGGUCUCUGGGCCGUAACUGACGCUGAGGAGCGAAAGCAUGGGGAGCGAACAGG